This 603-nucleotide small RNA is filed under the name Pongo abelii (Sumatran orangutan). RNAcentral describes it as "processed transcript". Lineage: Eukaryota; Metazoa; Chordata; Mammalia; Primates; Hominidae. The record is from RNAcentral.
GGUGAUUCCUAGGGGUAGGCAGGUGUUCUAUAAAGGCAUAGUAUGCACAAUGGAACCAUUUGUGUAAAGGAAGCAGGGCAGGUUUUUCCAGCUUGAGGGCUUAAUUAGAUGGAACCGAGGAGGCAACUCACAUGGAUGGAGCUGGACACUGGGGCUGGAGAGCUGUCCCCAGACUAGCACAGUAAGGUGUUCACAUGAUGGGGCCAGGCCCUGUGGCUCAGGUUAGAGAGGCAUGCCCAGGCCAACUGGAGAGCCACUCUCCAGCCCCAUCAGGCCAAUUGUGUUCCUUCUGGACCCUAGGCGUGAAUGAGGUGGAUUACUGCCUGUACCCGGCGCGGGAGACCCAGCUGCAGUGGCUGCACUACUACCUGCAGGCACAAAAGGGGAUGGCCGUGACCCCCAGGGAGGUGCAAAGGCUCUACGUGCAAGUCAACAAGUUUGCCCUGGGUUCUAGCUGUGUGUCUUCCACAAUGACUGCAUCCCUCCAGUGCUGUAGAGUCGGAAACAGGCAUGGGGAGAUUGCCAGGCUGACCCUCUCUGGUCUGUUUCCAGGCGUCUCACUUCUUCUGGGCUCUCUGGGCCCUCAUCCAGAACCAGUACUCC